UACGAAGGGGGCUAGCGUUGCUCGGAAUCACUGGGCGUAAAGCGCACGUAGGCGGCUAUUCAAGUCAGAGGUGAAAGCCCGGGGCUCAACCCCGGAACUGCCUUUGAAACUAGAUAGCUAGAAUCUUGGAGAGGUCAGUGGAAUUCCGAGUGUAGAGGUGAAAUUCGUAGAUAUUCGGAAGAACACCAGUGGCGAAGGCGACUGACUGGACAAGUAUUGACGCUGAGGUGCGAAAGCGUGGGGAGCAAACAGGG
RNAcentral lists this ribosomal RNA (254 nucleotides) under uncultured bacterium. RNAcentral's name for it is "partial 16S ribosomal RNA". It matches the Rfam family "Bacterial small subunit ribosomal RNA", at positions 524 to 777 of the family's 1533-position model. The record is from RNAcentral.